RNAcentral lists this non-coding RNA (29 nucleotides) under Mus musculus (house mouse). The record is from RNAcentral. Lineage: Eukaryota; Metazoa; Chordata; Mammalia; Rodentia; Muridae.
UAAGCUCUGUAACCUUCAUGUUAUGUAAA